AAGCAAAAGGAUCAUGAAAACUGCUGAAAAAGAUGCAUGGUGAUGUAUUAACAUAAAGUUAAUAGAGGUAUCAGCAGUAAUUCUGUUUCAUUUCCCUGCCUGGUGACUACCCUUGAAAGAUGUGGAUUGCUUGUAUGAAAUGACUCAUAUAGCUCUUCUGAUGGCAAUUCUAAUUAUUGGCUGUCUUGAGCAAGCAGGUAUCCAAAUCUGGCAGAACACGUAUCUGGAGCCUUUUGUUUUGAGAAGUGGAACAAUGAACAUGGCACUGAACAGCACAUGGCAAAUGUUGGGCCACUGGAUCAGUCUCACAUGGGGGACAUUUGCUGUUCCUUUUGGAGGUGCCUGUAAAAAUUGUCUAGAAUGACUUCUCUGUGCUCUGGCUUUCAUUCUUACUGAAACAUUAGAGGAACACUCUGGUACAGUGAAUUGCAGCAAACCCAGAUCCUCCUACACCAAAA
Pogoniulus pusillus (Red-fronted tinkerbird) is the source of this 458-nucleotide long non-coding RNA. RefSeq lists it as uncharacterized. Lineage: Eukaryota; Metazoa; Chordata; Aves; Piciformes; Lybiidae. The record is from RefSeq and is a predicted model, not a curated record. The transcript is spliced from 3 exons.